GGGGAAUUAGCUCAGAUGGUAGAGCGCUCGCUUUGCAUGCGAGAGGUACCGGGAUCGAUGCCCGGAUUCUCCA
RNAcentral lists this transfer RNA (73 nucleotides) under Octopus vulgaris (common octopus). It matches the Rfam family "tRNA". Rfam says of the family: Transfer RNA (tRNA) molecules are approximately 80 nucleotides in length. RNAcentral also lists the same sequence under 2 other names. Lineage: Eukaryota; Metazoa; Mollusca; Cephalopoda; Octopoda; Octopodidae. The record is from Rfam by way of RNAcentral.